AAUGAACGCUGGCGGCAUGCCUAACACAUGCAAGUCGAACGGAAACACGAGUGGCUGCCUCCGGUGACGUGAGGGGCGGGCGGGUGAGUAACAUGUGGAUAAGUCACGUAUAGGACGGGAGUAACGCCGAAGCAGCAGUAAUAAUACCGGAGAAUAAAGGAAGCCGGAGGGGGCAAUAGGGAAAUACGGCUUUGCGGUUGGUCGAAGGCUGAUUAGCUAGUUGGUGGGGUAAAGGCAUACCAAGGCCACGAUCCGUAGCCGGUCUGAGAGGGUGAUCAGCCACACUGGAACUGAGACACGGUCCAGACUCCUACGGGAGGCAGCAGUGGGGAAUCUUGGACAAUGGGCGAAAGCCUGAUCCAGCAACGCCGCGUGUGUGAUGAAGGCCUUCGGGUCGUAAAGCUCUUUUGUUAGGAAAGAAAAACUGUGUCCUAAUACGUGCACGUGUUGACGGUACCUAAUGAGAAAGCACCGGCUAACUACGUG
Molecule: ribosomal RNA, 486 nt
Filed under: uncultured bacterium
Lineage: Bacteria
Description: partial 16S ribosomal RNA
Rfam family: Bacterial small subunit ribosomal RNA
Source: RNAcentral